RNAcentral lists this ribosomal RNA (372 nucleotides) under uncultured bacterium. RNAcentral's name for it is "bacterial SSU rRNA". It matches the Rfam family "Bacterial small subunit ribosomal RNA", at positions 525 to 896 of the family's 1533-position model. The record is from RNAcentral.
ACGAAUGUGGCAAGCGUUGUUCGGAAUCACUGGGCGUAAAGAAUGCGUAGGCGGCUUAACAAGUCGGAAGUGAAAUCCCAGGGCUUAACCCUGGAACUGCUUUCGAAACUGUUUUGCUAGAGUCCCGGAGGGGUUAGCGGAAUUCCGAGUGUAGAGGUGAAAUUCGCAGAUAUUCGGAGGAACACCAGUGGCGAAGGCGGCUAACUGGACGGGAACUGACGCUGAGGCAUGAAAGUGUGGGGAUCAAACAGGAUUAGAUACCCUGGUAGUCCACACCGUAAACGAUGUGUGCUAGUUGUCGGGCAGCUUUGCUGUUCGGUGACGGAGCUAACGUUUUAAGCACACCGCCUGGGAAGUACGGCCGCAAGGUUA